CGCUCCGCGCCGCCGGCCUAGCCGGGGCUGCCGGGCCAGGCCCGCCAUGGAGGUGGAAGAGGCGUUCCAGGCGGUGGGGGAGAUGGGCAUCUACCAGAUGUACUUGUGCUUCCUGCUGGCCGUGCUGCUGCAGCUCUACGUGGCCACGGAGGCCAUCCUCAUCGCCCUGGUGGGGGCCACGCCCGCGUACCGCUGGGACCUGGCGGGGCUCCUGCCCAAUCAGAGCCUCGGCAACCGGUCAGCAGGUGACGAGCGCGCGCUCGGGGACUGGCUGCGGACGGCCAACGGCAGCGAGGUCCGCAAGCACGUGCACUUCAGCGGCAGCUUCACCUCCAUCGCGUCUGAGUGGUUUUUAAUUGCCAACAGAUCUUACAAAGUCAGUGCAGCAAGCUCUUUCUUCUUCAGUGGUGUGUUUGUGGGAGUUAUUUCCUUUGGUCAGCUUUCAGAUCGCUUCGGAAGGAAAAAAGUCUAUCUCACAGGUUUUGCUCUUGACAUCUUAUUUGCUGUUGCAAAUGGGUUUUCCCCCUCCUAUGAGUUCUUUGCCGUAACUCGCUUCCUGGUAGGCGUGAUGAACGGAGGAAUGUCGCUGGUGGCCUUCGUCCUGCUGAACGAAUGUGUGGGCACCGCCUACUGGGCACUCGCAGGAUCGAUCGGUGGCCUCUUCUUCGCAGUUGGCAUUGCCCAGUAUGCCCUGUUGGGAUACUUCAUCCGCUCCUGGAGGACCCUCGCCGUUCUGGUUAACCUACAGGGAACGGUGGUCUUUCUCCUGUCGUUAUUCAUUCCUGAAUCACCUCGUUGGUUAUACUCCCAGGGUCGACUGAGUGAGGCUGAAGCGGCUCUGUACCUCAUUGCCAAAAGGAACCGCAAGCUCAAGUGCACGUUCUCCCUAACAUAUCGGGCUAGCAGGAGCCACAGGGAGACCGGAAGUUUCCUGGAUCUGUUCCGUUACCGGAUCCUCUUGGGGCACACGCUGACCCUGAUGUUCAUCUGGUUUGUGUGCAGCUUGGUGUACUAUGGCCUCACUCUGAGCGCAGGUGAUCUAGGCGGAAAUAUUUAUGCCAACCUGGCCCUGUCUGGCCUCAUAGAGAUUCCAUCCUACCCUAUCUGCAUCUACUUGAUUAACCAAAAAUGGUUUGGUCGGAAGCGGACAUUAGCGGCAUUUCUGUGCCUAGGAGGACUGGCUUGUCUUAUUAUAAUGUUUCUUCCAGAAAAGAAAGACACAGGUGUGUUUGCCGUGGUGAACAGCCAUUCCUUGUCUCUGCUCGGGAAGCUGACGAUCAGCGCGGCCUUUAACGUGGUGUACAUCUACACCUCUGAGCUGUACCCCACAGUCAUCAGGAACGUUGGGCUUGGAACUUGUUCUAUGUUCUCCCGAGUUGGUGGGAUUAUUGCCCCCUUCAUCCCCUCACUGGUUGAGAUAUGUGCAGUGGUCUUUACCCUUCAUUGUCUUUGGAGCCACCGGCCUGACUUCGGGCCUCCUGAGUUUAUUAUUGCCGGAAACCCUUAACAGCCCAUUGCUAGAGACGUUUUCCGACCUUCAGGUGUAUUCAUAUCGGAGGCUAGGGGAUGAAGCAUUAUCUUUACAGACCUUGGAUCCGCCACAGUCUGUGGACAAGGACAACACUUUAGGCAGUGAGAGUGAGGAAGAGGAGGAGUUUUUCGAUGCAGAUGAAGAAACCCAGAUGAUUAAGUGAAGAGCCCCGGCUCCCCCCUCACAAGCAGAUGAUCUCCUUGCCUCUGGUGAAGGCAGGCUUUUCCAGGAAACCUAAGAGUUGUAGAAGCACAGGCUUGAACAUGCAUGGAAGGUCCUCAGCAUGGGCUCAUUUUUUUUCAGGCACAAAGGACAAUGGAGAAGAGAUUUCAUGAGCGAGGACAUCACAGUACUGAAGGAACAGUCGUUUGUUAGUCCACAAUUCAGGUUUAUUUCCGAACCAUGACUUCUGGCCAGAUAGCUCAAAUCCGCACACCAGAGUGGAAAGCUAAUUUGUUUCUAGAAGUCUGACUGUGUUGCUUAUCCUUGAUCAUGACCUAAAGGCAGACAUGUAAAAUUCCUUCUCACCACGUUAGUGGAAUAAGAUAAACCAUCCUUAAGAUUUCAUCCUAAUACCAUAUUUGACGUCUACCCCCAUCAUCUGUGCCUCACCAGGAAUCUCUUGAGGCCGACUGUUGUUCACAUUCCAGUUUUUUGCCAGAGGAAUAGCACUGAGAGGUAACUGUAUGUGGCCCAAGGCCUCCAGCUUUACCCUAACUGUUCACCCCUUGCUUUCCAAGCUUAGGGUUGGCUUGAGCUCCUCGUGCCUUGAGUCCUACAGACGAUCGCCUAGGAAAAGCCAACUGUACUGAAGCGAUUUUCUGAGAGCCCGAGGUGUGGCUGCAGUUCCCUGUCCAUUCCCUUUGACAGUUCAGACCUGUGCGCGUCUCCAGAAACUGGUCCAUCUCAGAUUCCAGUACCAGCACUCACUUCAGAACCGUGCUCGGUAACAGAUGAAGCUUUGUGAGGGCGGAGAGCACUUGCAGAGUGACAGACAUGUUGGGCACUUGAAAAGGGGCAGCUUUUAUAAGGAAGAAAAGAAAAUGAUCUGUCACGGGUUUUUGUUUGUCUGUUUUCGGCAUUGUGCAACAAGGCACUUGGGCAACCGUUAAGAACUUGAACGCUUCUGAUCCCAGAUCAGUCCCUGCCUCUGUAGUCAGAGUAAAAAGCAAGUAAUUUCAUAGGAAAUGUGGUUUUUUUCAUGAAGUACUGCCAACUUUAAAAUAAGUCUGUCACACUUAGUUUUCUAAAAUCAUAUGCUGGAAAUACCUGUUUCCCUUGAAACUUGAAUGCUAUCUCAAGUAGGAGUAUUAACCUGGAAUCAACAAGUUUGUGCAAUAUGGCCUUAGGCUGCUUUCCCAACAAGGAACAUUCCUGUGUCUUCAGAAUUUCCAUUUUGCUAACUUUGGGAGAAAGAGAAGUUGCAUUGGAGGUAAAGAGAAGACGUCAUGGGGCCUGCUUCUGGAAAUCUUGGAGGCAUCACCCCCAGUUGGCUCUGACACUUUCCUGUCCCCUUCCACGCUAACCUCUUGGUUUGCACUCUUAUUAGUCUGUACCUUUGUAUUUGUUAAAGUAUUUUUAUGUCCUUUAUGCCCUUGAUGAUAUUUUGAGCUCUUCAUAAAUAGGGACCAUCUCUCCUGCUGUUUGUUUCUCUCUGCUAUUUGCCGAAGAAUAUGGGCCUAGACACAAUCAGUAUCUAAUAAAUAUUACUGUUUCUAACCAUCAAGAAAACUGUGGAACUCCUUGCAGUAUCAUUUUUAUAAAUCCCAGGCAAAUGUGACCCAAACCCUCAAACUGUGGAAUCCUGCUUUUCUAUCUCUGGCAGAUUGGAGACACUGCCCCCCACCAGGAGAGGAAGACAGGAGGAACUUACAAGGACACUUAGAAGGUCUUCUUAGUGGUUGGGCAUUAAAAAUAAAACACUGAACUAGCAUAUAUGUGCUCUUCGGUCAGUUAGAGCGCUCUUUGCAUUAUGAGAAUAAUACGUCCCCUUAUAGAAAAUUUGGAAACUAGAAGUUAAAAAAUCUAUCACCCAUAGGCCCAACACCCAGGGGCAACCAGUGUGAUGGCUUGGUUCUAACUGAAGACCAGUUGGGAAUCCAUCUCUCUGUUGGCACUGGGGUUCCCUCUGCCUCUGCCUAAAUAAAUGAGGAUUCCAUUAGUUCUAUCCCUGGGUCUCCUGCUUCCCCAACUGUGGGGUAGAAAAAGGGAAGGGUGUUAUACAUGUUGCCUAAUAAGAAGGCCAGGCAGGCUACCAACUGCUCGAGUCAGUUGUAUCACUGAUAAGGUCGUUGUUUCUUUCUAGAUGGUCCUUUGGUGAAGUUUAAUAUUUACUGUUUUUUCAUUCUACCACCUUUUAUAAAGAGAUUUUUUUUCCUUUUGUUAUUAAAUGUUGAAGAAUAGUGAUUGUAGAGAAUGUGUACCUGUGUAUAUUUGCACUGAUUAAAUGAUUGGAAAGCUUUUAAUUUACAGGGAACAUAAUUUGUACAAGUGAUUUGUAAAAAGCAUCUUUUUUAUUCAAAUUUAAAUUUCUUUUCUCCUCAAAAACAGCAAGAAAAAUGUAAGACACGUAAGAAACCCCCAGUUUCUUGGGUCAAAGGUCUUAGAACAGCUUGUCCAGAACUUUGGUACUGAUGUGUUAAAAGAAACAGUGUUGUAGUUUCCUGAUGUGGUGAGUUAAAACCAGUGCCCAUUGAAAAUGCAAUAUUUGUCAUUUGGCUGCUUUCAAGCAAUAUAGACAUUCUUUAGUAUUUAAAAAUAAGCAAAUAAAAUACAACAAAUAAGAAGCAAAUGAAAGUUUCUGAGGCACUGCUUAAGUGAAUAUAAUCUGGGCAGGUAUUUCUGUGGAGGUCAAAUUGAUGAAGGUACUGUUAGUAGAUUUAUAUUCUUUUUUUUUUCUAAGAUUUUAUUUAUUUGACAGAGAGAAAGCACAAGCAGGGGGAGCAGCAGAGGGAGAGGGAGAGGCAGGCUCCCCACUGAGCCGGGACCCUGACGUGGGACUCAAUCCUGGGACCCGGGAUCAUGACCUGAACUGAAGGCAGACGCUUAACCGACUGAGCCACCCGGGCACCCAGUAGUUUUAUAUUCUUAACAAAAACAUUGAAAUAAUUGUCACUAGCACAUCAGAAUUAUUUUUUUUUUCAAGAUUU
Zalophus californianus (California sea lion) is the source of this 4680-nucleotide RNA transcript. It is a transcript of the gene named solute carrier family 22 member 15, with no coding region annotated. The transcript is spliced from 12 exons. NCBI's taxonomy places the organism in Eukaryota, Metazoa, Chordata, Mammalia, Carnivora, Otariidae. The record is from RefSeq and is a predicted model, not a curated record.